RNAcentral lists this ribosomal RNA (920 nucleotides) under uncultured archaeon 20b-22. Its description in RNAcentral is "bacterial SSU rRNA". It matches the Rfam family "Archaeal small subunit ribosomal RNA", at positions 4 to 921 of the family's 1478-position model. The record is from RNAcentral.
CUGGUUGAUCCUGCCGGAGGCCACCGCUAUUGGGGUCCGACUAAGCCAUGCGAGUCAUGGGGCGCCUUGCGCGCACCGGCGGACGGCUCAGCAACACGUCGGUAACCUAGCCUCGGGAGGGGGACAACCCCGGGAAACUGGGGCUAAUCCCCCAUAGGUUUAGGGCACUGGAAUGUCCCUAAACCGAAAGGGGCUCUGCCCGCCCGAGGAUGGGCCGGCGGCCGAUUAGGUAGUUGGUGGGGUAACGGCCCACCAAGCCCAUAAUCGGUACGGGCAGUGAGAGCUGGAGCCCGGAGAUGGACACUGAGACACGGGUCCAGGCCCUACGGGGCGCAGCAGGCGCGAAACCUCCGCAAUGCUCGGAAGAGCGACGGGGGGACCCCAAGUGCCGUGGUACAACCACGGCUUUUCCGGAGUGUAGGAAGCUCCGGGAAUAAGGGCUGGGCAAGGCCGGUGGCAGCCGCCGCGGUAAUACCGGCGGCCCGAGUGGUGGCCACUAUUAUUGGGCCUAAAGCGUCCGUAGCCGGGCUUGUAAGUCCCUGGCGAAAUCCCACGGCUCAACCGUGGGGCUUGCUGGGGAUACUGCAAGCCUUGGGACCGGGAGAGGCCGGGGGUACUCCUGGGGUAGGGGUGAAAUCCUAUAAUCCCAGGAGGACCGCCAGUGGCGAAGGCGCCCGGCUGGAACGGGUCCGACGGUGAGGGACGAAGGCCAGGGGAGCAAACCGGAUUAGAUACCCGGGUAGUCCUGGCUGUAAAGGAUGCGGGCUAGGUGUUGCUUGGACCUCGAGUCCAGGCAGUGCCGCAGGGAAGCCGUUAAGCCCGCCGCCUGGGGAGUACGGCCGCAAGGCUGAAACUUAAAGGAAUUGGCGGGGGAGCACUACAAGGGGUGGAGCGUGCGGUUUAAUUGGAUUCAACGCCGG